AUUAUUCCACCAGCUUUCCAGUGACCUCCCCAUGGUGCAAUCCACACGGAGAGAUAGAGCGACAUCCAGUGCCGCCUUGCCCUGAGCCAGAUAUGCGCCUCCACAAAUAUGUGUACAUCAUCUCUGAACGCAGGGUAAAUAAGGUCGAAUCAUCAGAUGAAAUAAUCUGAUGAAAUAAAGACUGAAAGAGGGAUCUGAGCCAUAUCUGGCAACCAGCAACAAUAUUAUGUCUGCCACUUUUGGGCACCCUGCAAUGCAUCUCUGAUGAGCAGACGGCGACAAACGUGACCCAUCCUGAUUAAAUACAAACUUUGGAGACAUGAAACCUGGCAGGAGUAACUCACCAACUCCCUUGGCAUCUUCUAAUAAAGUCAGCCAAGCAGUCUGAGUGUGCCUGGCAAAGGGUCAAGGGUUGGCUAGUUUGCAUAACCUCUUAAUGCCUUCUUGAAA
Carassius auratus (goldfish) is the source of this 450-nucleotide long non-coding RNA. RefSeq lists it as uncharacterized. The record is from RefSeq and is a predicted model, not a curated record. The transcript has 4 exons. NCBI's taxonomy places the organism in Eukaryota, Metazoa, Chordata, Actinopteri, Cypriniformes, Cyprinidae.